Molecule: ribosomal RNA, 433 nt
Filed under: uncultured bacterium
Lineage: Bacteria
Description: partial 16S ribosomal RNA
Rfam family: Bacterial small subunit ribosomal RNA
Source: RNAcentral
AACGAACGCUGGCGGCAUGCCUAACACAUGCAAGUCGAACGAGACCUUCGGGUCUAGUGGCGCACGGGUGCGUAACGCGUGGGAACCUGCCCUUAGGUUCGGAAUAACUCCCCGAAAGGGGUGCUAAUACCGGAUAAUGUCUUCGGACCAAAGAUUUAUCGCCUUUGGAUGGGCCCGCGUUGGAUUAGCUAGUUGGUAGGGUAAAAGCCUACCAAGGCGACGAUCCAUAGCUGGUCUGAGAGGAUGAUCAGCCACACCGGGACUGAGACACGGCCCAGACUCCUACGGGAGGCAGCAGUGGGGAAUAUUGGACAAUGGGCGAAAGCCUGAUCCAGCAAUGCCGCGUGAGUGAUGAAGGCCUUAGGGUUGUAAAGCUCUUUUACCCGGGAUGAUAAUGACAGUACCGGGAGAAUAAGCUCCGGCUAGCUCCGUG